RNAcentral lists this ribosomal RNA (427 nucleotides) under uncultured bacterium. RNAcentral's name for it is "bacterial SSU rRNA". It matches the Rfam family "Bacterial small subunit ribosomal RNA", at positions 355 to 774 of the family's 1533-position model. The record is from RNAcentral.
UGGGGAAUUUUGGACAAUGGGCGAAAGCCUGAUCCAGCAACGCCGCGUGCAGGAUGAAGGCCUUCGGGUUGUAAACUGCUUUUGUACGGAACGAAAAAGCUUCUCCUAAUACGAGAGGCCCAUGACGGUACCGUAAGAAUAAGCACCGGCUAACUACGUGCCAGCAGCCGCGGUAAUACGUAGGGUGCGAGCGUUAAUCGGAAUUACUGGGCGUAAAGCGUGCGCAGGCGGUUAUGUAAGACAGAUGUGAAAUCCCCGGGCUCAACCUGGGAACUGCAUUUGUGACUGCAUGGCUAGAGUACGGUAGAGGGGGAUGGAAUUCCGCGUGUAGCAGUGAAAUGCGUAGAUAUGCGGAGGAACGCCGAUGGCGAAGGCAAUCCCCUGGACCUGUACUGACGCUCAUGCACGAAAGCGUGGGGAGCAAACA